Molecule: ribosomal RNA, 253 nt
Filed under: uncultured bacterium
Lineage: Bacteria
Description: partial 16S ribosomal RNA
Rfam family: Bacterial small subunit ribosomal RNA
Source: RNAcentral
UACGGAGGAUGCAAGCGUUAUCCGGAAUCAUUGGGCGUAAAGCGUUCGUAGGUGGCUGUGCAAGUCUGCCGUUAAAGACAGUGGCUUAACCACUGAAAGGCGGUGGAAACUGCGCAGCUAGAGUGCGGUAGGGGUAGAGGGAAUUCCCGGUGUAGCGGUGAAAUGCGUAGAGAUCGGGAAGAACACCAGUGGCGAAAGCGCUCUACUGGGCCUGCACUGACACUGAGGGACGAAAGCUAGGGGAGCGAAUGGG